Molecule: transfer RNA, 84 nt
Filed under: Claviceps pazoutovae
Lineage: Eukaryota; Fungi; Ascomycota; Sordariomycetes; Hypocreales; Clavicipitaceae
Description: tRNA-Lys
Rfam family: tRNA
About the family: Transfer RNA (tRNA) molecules are approximately 80 nucleotides in length.
Source: RNAcentral
GCCCGGUUAGCUCAAUCGGUAGAGCGUGAGACUCUUACCAGAAAUUAAAUCUCAAGGUUGCGGGUUCGACCCCCGCAUCGGGCU